UGGGGAAUAUUGGACAAUGGGCGCAAGCCUGAUCCAGCCAUGCCGCGUGAGUGACGAAGGCCUUAGGGUUGUAAAGCUCUUUUGGCGGGGAAGAUAAUGACGGUACCCGCAGAAUAAGCUCCGGCUAACUUCGUGCCAGCAGCCGCGGUAAUACGAAGGGAGCUAGCGUUGUUCGGAAUCACUGGGCGUAAAGCGCACGUAGGUGGGCAGUUAAGUCAGGGGUGAAAGCCCGAGGCUCAACCUCGGAAUUGCCUCUGAUACUGGCUGUCUAGAGUCCGAGAGAGGUGGGUGGAAUUCCUAGUGUAGAGGUGAAAUUCGUAGAUAUUAGGAAGAACACCGGUGGCGAAGGCGGCCCACUGGCUCGGUACUGACACUGAGGUGCGAAAGCGUGGGGAGCAAACAGGAUUAGAUACCCAAGUAGUCCCUGAGCGGGCUGGCAAGGCGCAU
This 447-nucleotide ribosomal RNA is filed under the name uncultured bacterium. RNAcentral describes it as "bacterial SSU rRNA". It matches the Rfam family "Bacterial small subunit ribosomal RNA", at positions 355 to 825 of the family's 1533-position model. The record is from RNAcentral.